This 520-nucleotide ribosomal RNA is filed under the name uncultured Entrophospora. Its description in RNAcentral is "SSU rRNA". It matches the Rfam family "Eukaryotic small subunit ribosomal RNA", at positions 569 to 1078 of the family's 1831-position model. The record is from RNAcentral. Lineage: Eukaryota; Fungi; Glomeromycota; Glomeromycetes; Entrophosporales; Entrophosporaceae.
AGCAGCCGCGGUAAUUCCAGCUCCAAUAGCGUAUAUUAAAGUUGUUGCAGUUAAAAAGCUCGUAGUUGAAUUUCGGGAUUGACGUGAUGGUCAUGCCUUAAGGGGUAUGAACUGUUGCAGUUGAUUUCUCACCUUCUGGAAAAACUUGAUGUCCUUUAUUGGGUGUCUUGCGGAACCAGGACCUUUACCUUGAAAAAAUUAGAGUGUUUAAAGCAGGCAUUUUUGCUCGAAUACAUUAGCAUGGAAUAAUAGAAUAGGACGGCAUGGUUCUAUUUUGUUGGUUUCUAGGAUCACCGUAAUGAUUAAUAGGGAUAGUUGGGGGCAUUAGUAUUCAAUUGUCAGAGGUGAAAUUCUUGGAUUUAUUGAAGACUAACUACUGCGAAAGCAUUUGCCAAGGAUGUUUUCAAUUAAUAAAGAACGAAAGUUAAGGGGAUACGAAGACGAUCAGAUACCGUCGUAAUCUUAACCAUAAAACUAUAGCCGACUAGGGAUCGGAUGAUGUUAAUUUUAUAAUGACUCA